UGUUUUGUCUGGCAGGGGAGACACCAUGAUUGCAAAAGUGGUUUUCCCAGGGCGAGGCUGAUCCAUUGCACUGCGGAGCUGCUGACUCCAGUGACUUCCCCACGUGGGGAAACUCAACUGCAUAAUUUGUUUUGGUGGGGGAUUGCAUUCGCACUUUCCAC
Molecule: small nuclear RNA, 161 nt
Filed under: Dasypus novemcinctus (nine-banded armadillo)
Lineage: Eukaryota; Metazoa; Chordata; Mammalia; Cingulata; Dasypodidae
Description: U1 spliceosomal RNA (ENSDNOG00000028807.1)
Rfam family: U1 spliceosomal RNA
About the family: U1 is a small nuclear RNA (snRNA) component of the spliceosome (involved in pre-mRNA splicing). Its 5' end forms complementary base pairs with the 5' splice junction, thus defining the 5' donor site of an intron.
Source: RNAcentral